CAAGACCAAGCCUGGACAACCCUUGCAGAGUGACCCUGAAGAAGACAAGCCCUGCUCCAGUCACACCCGGAAGCUGACUGGUCCACGCAUAGCCGAAGCAUGAGGAAGUUCACUGUGGAACUCAUUUUUUUAAAUUUUGGACUUGUACAGUAAGGACUUCAACUGACCUUCUUCAGACUGAGGUGUCGAUUUUGCUUGAGAAUAUUGAAGGUCUUGACAGAAGUUGUGGAUUUCAGUUUUAACAAAUGUGUUUUAAGUGGAAGAGCAUUUUCCUGGUCUUGUCCCUCCAAUUUGAGAAUUAGAAAUGCCAUGUUUAUGAUUAUUCAGCUGUAUUUGUUGCUAACUUGUAAAGCAAUACAAACAUUUUUUGGUCUGUUUGACUGAAUUUGUCCCACAACUCAUUGUUGCUCUGUUCAUUUUUUUCCAGGUUUCUUUUUUCUUUCUGUGUUUCAUUUUGGAUAGUUUUUAUUGCUAUGCUAUGUUUUCAAUUUGUCUUUUUAUUUUUGGCAGCAUCCUGUCUGGUAUUUAACUAAUUCAGUGAAAUUUUCAAUCUCAGACAUUUUAAAAAACCUUUAGAACUAAGUUCAAAUUGAGUCUUUAAAAAUACGUUUAUGCUUUCCUCUACUUUCUUGAACAUAUAAAAUAUAGUUAUAAUAGCA
This 659-nucleotide long non-coding RNA is filed under the name Homo sapiens (human). RNAcentral's name for it is "HSALNT0327843". Lineage: Eukaryota; Metazoa; Chordata; Mammalia; Primates; Hominidae. The record is from RNAcentral.